UUUUGGGGGGGGAGGUACUCCUU
This 23-nucleotide ribosomal RNA is filed under the name Komagataeibacter xylinus. RNAcentral describes it as "partial 16S ribosomal RNA". The record is from RNAcentral. Lineage: Bacteria; Pseudomonadati; Pseudomonadota; Alphaproteobacteria; Acetobacterales; Acetobacteraceae.